This 250-nucleotide ribosomal RNA is filed under the name uncultured bacterium. Its description in RNAcentral is "partial 16S ribosomal RNA". It matches the Rfam family "Bacterial small subunit ribosomal RNA", at positions 524 to 773 of the family's 1533-position model. The record is from RNAcentral.
UACGGAGGGAGCUAGCGUUGUUCGGAAUUAUUGGGCGUAAAGCGCGCGCAGGCGGUUUCUUAAGUCUGAUGUGAAAGCCCACGGCUCAACCGUGGAGGGUCAUUGGAAACUGGGAGACUUGAGUACGGGAGAGGAGAGUGGAAUUCCUGGUGUAGGAGUGAAAUCCGCAGAUAUCAGGAAGAACACCUGUGGCGAAGGCGGCUCUCUGGACCGAUACUGACGCUGAGGCGCGAAAGCGUGGGGAGCAAAC